GACGAACGCUGGCGGCGUGCCUAAUACAUGCAAGUUGAGCGCUGAAGGUUGGUACUUGUACCAACUGGAUGAGCAGCGAACGGGUGAGUAACGCGUGGGGAAUCUGCCUUUGAGCGGGGGACAACAUUUGGAAACGAAUGCUAAUACCGCAUAAAAACUUUAAACACAAGUUUUAAGUUUGAAAGAUGCAAUUGCAUCACUCAAAGAUGAUCCCGCGUUGUAUUAGCUAGUUGGUGAGGUAAAGGCUCACCAAGGCGAUGAUACAUAGCCGACCCGAGAGAGUGAUCGGCCACAUUGGGACUGAGACACGGCCCAAACUCCUACGGGAGGCAGCAGUAGGGAAUCUUCGGCAAUGGACGAAAGUCUGACCGAGCAACGCCGCGUGAGUGAAGAAGGGUUUCGGAUCGUAAAACUCGGUUGGUAGAGAAGAACGUUGGUGAGAGUGGAAAGCUCAUCAAGUGACGGUAACUACCCAGAAAGGGACGGCUAACUACGUG
RNAcentral lists this ribosomal RNA (497 nucleotides) under uncultured bacterium. RNAcentral describes it as "partial 16S ribosomal RNA". It matches the Rfam family "Bacterial small subunit ribosomal RNA", at positions 28 to 507 of the family's 1533-position model. The record is from RNAcentral.